GGGGAACUGUGACAUAUCACACCCCCGUGGCCAGGAAGGGGGUCACAUGGACUGGUCUCAUCCAGAGCACUUUAAAGAAACUGAUAAGCUCUAUCUCAUUUAACUUGGCCUUUAGAAGACGCUUGUGGAAAUUUCUGCAAAGGAGGUGACAUCAGUUGUUGUCACAGCUGCUGUUAACCUCUGUGGAACUUCAUUCAUCAAGACUACUCAGUUUUUCUGUGAUAAAACCUGUUGUGCAACGUAAUACACAACAUUUGGAAAUUCAACACUCUUAUUACUGUCAAAGCAUAGGACUCUGUGACACACUGUGAUGUAUUACAUCUUCGGUCUAAGCACUGGCCAAGUAUAAAAGGAGGGGCCAAUUUUGAACUCUGAAACUGAGAUGUCUCUAGGUCACUCUAAAUUUGCCGGGAGACAAGACCUCACAUUUCCUGUGAAGGAGGAACUCUGUGCUGUGCCCAUAUAAUGGGAAGGACUUGGAUGCUGCACUAGGAAGACUCUCCACCCUUAAUGAGCGGGGCUACGAGUCUUCAACUGCUGGUCCCAGAGGAAAAUUCACAUGCAGACUUCAGAGUGACCACUGAUGAAGAGUGCAACGGCUUCUUGGAAAUGGGAUGUACAAUACCUUUAGAAGGGCAACUGCUCUGUAUACUCAGAUCCAGGCCUGAUACACCUUGGAUUUAAGCUUUAAGUUCUCAUCAAAUAUAAAUGAUACCAGAACUGCUGAGGUAACAACUCUUCUGAAAGGCUGAGUGAACAGGAAAAAGAAAAGUCAGCAGUGAAUAAGAGAAAUCUGGGAUUCCUUCACUUCAGGUAUUAAGUAAGGAAGAGGAAACAGCACAGGUAUAUGUCAUUAUCUUCAGGAACUCCUGUCCUGCUUAAGAACAAUAAAACUUUCAUCUGAAGUGCAUUAAUAACUGUUGCAAAGAAAGAAGGAGACAGAUAGUCAACCCUGGAAUGGGCCUUGCCCUGCUGUUGGUCGCGUGUAAUUUGUUUUUUCAUAUCACUAACCUCACAGAAUGUAAGCAAAAGUGAUACCGUUGAAAAAAGCCAAAGAAACAAAUUCAGGUUGAAAUUCAAUUAAAAACUUGAGGGUUUUUUUGUGGGUGUAUAAAUAGAAUAUUGAUAUUGAAACAUUAUUAUUAGUCUUUUCCAGAUUUCAUCUUUCACCUAUCCCUAUCUUUUUCAUCUAGUUUCAUAAUUGUGCAUGGUCAUCCCCAAACUAAAUUUUUGGGGAAAUGUGUAACUAGCCACUUUGAACAGAAAAUCCAUCCAGUUUUGUAAACAGGACCUUAUUAGGAGUUUGUGGCAGUUUCUGAGAUAUUUCUGUGUUAAUGACAGGACUUCUGGUUUUGAACUUUUCCACGUAACUCUACUUUGUUUGGUAGUACUUGGGAUGAUUCUAGAGAUAACUAGGGAUGAUUCCUGAUAAAAACAUUGAUUUAGCUUUACAGCAAGCUUUCCAAGAUGUCUUUUAGAAUAUCUUUCUGUUGCCGUUCA
Long non-coding RNA from Hirundo rustica (Barn swallow), 1500 nucleotides. RefSeq lists it as uncharacterized. NCBI's taxonomy places the organism in Eukaryota, Metazoa, Chordata, Aves, Passeriformes, Hirundinidae. The record is from RefSeq and is a predicted model, not a curated record. The transcript is spliced from 8 exons.